ACAGGGAUUGCCUCAGUAACGGCGAGUGAAGCGGCAAAAGCUCAAAUUUGAAAUCUGGCUCCUUUGGGGGUCCGAAUUGUAAUUUGCAGAGGACGCCUCGGGUUCGGCUCCGGUCUAAGUUCCUUGGAACAGGACGUCACAGAGGGUGAGAAUCCCGUAUGUGAUCGGUCGCCGUCCCCAUGUGAGGCUCCUUCGACGAGUCGAGUUGUUUGGGAAUGCAGCUCUAAAUGGGAGGUAAAUUUCUUCUAAAGCUAAAUACUGGCCAGAGACCGAUAGCGCACAAGUAGAGUGAUCGAAAGAUGAAAAGCACUUUGGAAAGAGAGUCAAAAAGUACGUGAAAUUGUUGAAAGGGAAGCGCUUGCUACCAGACUUGCCCGCGGUUGCUCAACCGGCCUUCUGGCUCGGUGCACUCUUCCGCGGGCAGGCCAGCGUCGGUUCGGGCGGUCGGAUAAAAGUCCGGGGAAUGUGGCUCCCUCCGGGGAGUGUUAUAGCCCCGUUCACAAUGCGACCCGUCCGGACCGAGGACCGCGCUUCGGCUAGGAUGCUGGCGUAAUGGUAGUAAGCGGCCCGUCUUGAAACACGGACCAAGGAGUCUAACAUCUAUGCGAGUGUUUGGGUGUCAAACCCAUGCGCGGAAUGAAAGUGAACGGAGGUGGGAACCUUAGGGUGCACCAUCGACCGAUCCUGAUGUCUUCGGAAGGAUUUGAGUAAGAGCAUAGCUGUUGGGACCCGAAAGAUGGUGAACUAUGCCUGAAUAGGGUGAAGCCAGAGGAAACUCUGGUGGAGGCUCGCAGCGGUUCUGACGUGCAAAUCGAUCGUCAAAUUUGGGCAUAGGGGCGAAAGACUAAUCGA
This 852-nucleotide ribosomal RNA is filed under the name Yuccamyces citri. RNAcentral describes it as "eukaryotic LSU rRNA". It matches the Rfam family "Eukaryotic large subunit ribosomal RNA", at positions 68 to 938 of the family's 3401-position model. Lineage: Eukaryota; Fungi; Ascomycota; Dothideomycetes; Patellariales. The record is from RNAcentral.